UGGGGAAUUUUGGACAAUGGGCGCAAGCCUGAUCCAGCCAUGCCGCGUGCGGGAAGAAGGCCUUCGGGUUGUAAACCGCUUUGUCAGGGAAGAAAUCUUCUGAGUUAAUACCUCGGGAGGAUGACGGUACCUGAAGAAUAAGCACCGGCUAACUACGUGCCAGCAGCCGCGGUAAUACGUAGGGUGCAAGCGUUAAUCGGAAUUACUGGGCGUAAAGCGUGCGCAGGCGGUUUUGUAAGACAGAGGUGAAAUCCCCGGGCUCAACCUGGGAACUGCCUUUGUGACUGCAAGGCUUGAGUGCGGCAGAGGGGGAUGGAAUUCCGCGUGUAGCAGUGAAAUGCGUAGAUAUGCGGAGGAAACACCGAUGGCGAAGGCAAUCCCCUGGGCCUGCACUGACGCUCAUGCACGAAAGCGUGGGGAGCAAACAGGAUUAGAUACCCUGGUAGUCCACGCCCUAAACGAUGUCAACUGGUUGUUGGGAAGGUUCCUUCUCAGUAACGUAGCUAACGCGUGAAGUUGACCGCCUGGGGAGUACGGCCGCAAGGUUGAAAACUUAAAUGAAUUGACGGGGUCAUAGCUGUUUCC
This 585-nucleotide ribosomal RNA is filed under the name uncultured bacterium. Its description in RNAcentral is "partial 16S ribosomal RNA". It matches the Rfam family "Bacterial small subunit ribosomal RNA", at positions 355 to 937 of the family's 1533-position model. The record is from RNAcentral.